Molecule: ribosomal RNA, 484 nt
Filed under: uncultured bacterium
Lineage: Bacteria
Description: partial 16S ribosomal RNA
Rfam family: Bacterial small subunit ribosomal RNA
Source: RNAcentral
AUUGAACGCUGGCGGCAGGCCUAACACAUGCAAGUCGAGCGGAUGAAGGGAGCUUGCUCCUGGAUUCAGCGGCGGACGGGUGAGUAAUGCCUAGGAAUCUGCCUGGUAGUGGGGGAUAACGUCCGGAAACGGGCGCUAAUACUGCAUACGUCCUGAGGGAGAAAGUGGGGGAUGUUCGGACCUCACGCUAUCAGAUGAGUCUAGGUCGGAUUAGCUAGUUGGUGGGGUAAAGGCCUACUAAGGCGACGAUCCGUAACUGGUCUGAGUGGAUGAUCGGUCACACUGGAACUGAGACACGGUCCAGACUCCUACGGGAGGCAGCAGUGGGGAAUAUUGGACAAUGGGCGAAAGCCUGAUCCAGCCAUGCCGCGUGUGUGAAGAAGGUCUUCGGAUUGUAAAGCACUUUAAGUUGGGAGGAAGGGCAGUAAGUUAAUACCUUGCUGUUUUGACGUUACCAACAGAAUAAGCACCGGCUAACUUCGUG